AAACACUUAUAUAAUGUUGACAGGAAAUGGAAGAAAAGCAAGAGGAGGCACAUAAUUUUUUUUAUUUAAAUUUCACCUCCUUUGGUAAAAAAAAAUAGAGUGAAAGGAAAGGAAAAUGAGGAAGCUAAAAUCCUUGCCUUCUUAUCGUUGUCUCCUCUUCACUACUAUUGGAGAAAUUUAGAUUGGAGAUCUUGUGUUAAAAGAUGUCUUUGUGAUCACUAGUUAGGGUGGAGGAUAUUUAUAAACUGAUUUUAGUUUCAACUCUUUAGAAAUAUGAGACUUUUUUGUGUAUCGGAAGAACAAUAUAAUAUUU
This 313-nucleotide long non-coding RNA is filed under the name Glycine max (soybean). RNAcentral describes it as "long non-coding RNA (GMAX_LNC002888)". The record is from RNAcentral. Lineage: Eukaryota; Viridiplantae; Streptophyta; Magnoliopsida; Fabales; Fabaceae.